This is a small nuclear RNA of Mandrillus leucophaeus (drill), 65 nucleotides long. Its record names the gene U7. It matches the Rfam family "U7 small nuclear RNA". Rfam says of the family: Animal histone pre-mRNAs are spliced by a different mechanism than nuclear pre-mRNAs and self-splicing introns. This processing involves the U7 snRNP, which contains only one RNA species: U7. The record is from Ensembl. NCBI's taxonomy places the organism in Eukaryota, Metazoa, Chordata, Mammalia, Primates, Cercopithecidae.
GAGUAUUAUGGUUCUUUUAGAAUUUGUCUAGCAGGUUUUCUGGUCUUUACCAGAAAAGUUCCCCC